GAACCUGGAAGCCAGCCACCAUGUGC
Molecule: non-coding RNA, 26 nt
Filed under: Homo sapiens (human)
Lineage: Eukaryota; Metazoa; Chordata; Mammalia; Primates; Hominidae
Source: RNAcentral